CGGUCCAGACUCCUACGGGAGGCAGCAGUAGGGAAUCUUCCGCAAUGGGCGAAAGCCUGACGGAGCAACGCCGCGUGAGUGAUGAAGGUCUUCGGAUCGUAAAACUCUGUUAUUAGGGAAGAACAUACGUGUAAGUAACUGUGCACGUCUUGACGGUACCUAAUCAGAAAGCCACGGCUAACUACGUGCCAGCAGCCGCGGUAA
This 204-nucleotide ribosomal RNA is filed under the name Staphylococcus haemolyticus. Its description in RNAcentral is "partial 16S ribosomal RNA". It matches the Rfam family "Bacterial small subunit ribosomal RNA", at positions 327 to 523 of the family's 1533-position model. The record is from RNAcentral. Lineage: Bacteria; Bacillati; Bacillota; Bacilli; Caryophanales; Staphylococcaceae.